RNAcentral lists this transfer RNA (77 nucleotides) under Fervidicoccus fontis. RNAcentral's name for it is "tRNA-Ala". It matches the Rfam family "tRNA". Rfam says of the family: Transfer RNA (tRNA) molecules are approximately 80 nucleotides in length. RNAcentral also lists the same sequence under 2 other names. The record is from RNAcentral. Lineage: Archaea; Thermoproteati; Thermoproteota; Thermoprotei; Fervidicoccales; Fervidicoccaceae.
GGGCCGGUAGCUCAGCCUGGAAGAGCGCUCGGUUUGCACCCGAGAGGCCCCGGGUUCAAAUCCCGGCCGGUCCACCA